This is a regulatory RNA element of Tetranychus urticae (two-spotted spider mite), 114 nucleotides long. It matches the Rfam family "Potassium channel RNA editing signal". From Rfam's summary of the family: This family represents a group of sequences related to the human potassium channel Kv1.1 hairpin element which directs the efficient modification of an adenosine to inosine by an adenosine deaminase acting on RNA (ADAR). The ADAR modification causes an isoleucine/valine recoding event which lies in the ion-conducting pore of the potassium channel. It is thought that this editing event targets the process of fast inactivation and allows a more rapid recovery from inactivation at negative potentials. The record is from Rfam. Lineage: Eukaryota; Metazoa; Arthropoda; Arachnida; Trombidiformes; Tetranychidae.
GUCGGCUACGGAGAUAUGGUUCCACUUGGUGUUUGGGGUAAAAUGGUUGGCUCACUGUGUGCCAUUGCUGGUGUACUUACUCUAGCCCUGCCUGUGCCUGUGAUAGUUUCCAAU